GACGAACGCUGGCGGCGUGCCUAAUACAUGCAAGUAGAACGCUGAAGGAGGAGCUUGCUUCUCUGGAUGAGUUGCGAACGGGUGAGUAACGCGUAGGUAACCUGCCUGGUAGCGGGGGAUAACUAUUGGAAACGAUAGCUAAUACCGCAUAAGAGUAGAUGUUGCAUGACAUUUGCUUAAAAGGUGCAAUUGCAUCACUACCAGAUGGACCUGCGUUGUAUUAGCUAGUUGGUGGGGUAACGGCUCACCAAGGCGACGAUACAUAGCCGACCUGCGAGGGUGAUCGGCCACACUGGGACUGUGACACGGCCCAGACUCCUACGGGAGGCAGCAGUAGGGAAUCGUCGGCAAUGGACGGAAGUCUGACCGAGCAACGCCGCGUGAGUGAAGAAGGUCUUCGGAUCGUAAAGCUCUGUUGUAAGAGAAGAACGAGUGUGAGAGUGGAAAGUUCACACUGUGACGGUAUCUUACCAGAAAGGGACGGCUAACUACGUG
RNAcentral lists this ribosomal RNA (495 nucleotides) under uncultured bacterium. RNAcentral's name for it is "partial 16S ribosomal RNA". It matches the Rfam family "Bacterial small subunit ribosomal RNA", at positions 28 to 507 of the family's 1533-position model. The record is from RNAcentral.